Molecule: long non-coding RNA, 435 nt
Organism: Nomia melanderi (Alkali bee)
Lineage: Eukaryota; Metazoa; Arthropoda; Insecta; Hymenoptera; Halictidae
Source: RefSeq, a predicted model, not a curated record
GCGAGAUUUCUCGGCGGAAUGUGCGCGUGCCGAGAGUCGCAUAUUUCCGGCCAAAUCAGCCUUAACAGAAAUAAGAAACGCCGGAGAGAUUCAAUCGUGUAAAUCUUUUUAUUCGCAGGGAGUGUUCCACUCAUCUCGACCAUUUAAAAAUUAUUGUUGUUGCUCCUUCGAUAAAACCAUUUAUUUUUAUUAACAACAUGUUGCAGUUAAUGGAAAGUCAAUCGCUGCUCACUGGUUUCGCAGCGACGUGAGUUGGUGAUCAACGAUCGAGUGGACCUCUCGAUCGUCACGGACCAUCGGCUUCUUUUCAAGACCUUUCGCAAUUCUUUUAUCUCGGGGCUAUAUUUCAAAGAUAUUUAUCGAUAGGCAGACGCUGCCGGACGACUGACAUUUAUCAGACGUAAAAUGCACCGACGAAUCACUAGAAACAGCAAA